RNAcentral lists this ribosomal RNA (1221 nucleotides) under metagenome. RNAcentral's name for it is "bacterial LSU rRNA". It matches the Rfam family "Bacterial large subunit ribosomal RNA", at positions 1726 to 2925 of the family's 2925-position model. The record is from RNAcentral.
CCCCGUAACUUCGGGAGAAGGGGGGCCUCCGCUGGUGAUCAGACUUGCUUUGUGAGCUGGUGGGGGUCGCAGAGGCCAGGGGGAAGCGACUGUUUACUAAAAACACAGGUCCGUGCGAAGUCGUAAGACGAUGUAUACGGACUGACGCCUGCCCGGUGCUGGAACGUUAAGGGGACCGGUUAGCGGGACGUAAGUCCUGCGAGGCUGAGAACUUAAGCGCCAGUAAACGGCGGUGGUAACUAUAACCAUCCUAGGGUAGCGAAAUUCCUUGUCGGGUAAGUUCCGACCUGCACGAAUGGCGUAACGACUUCCCCGCUGUCUCAACCGCAGACCCGGCGAAAUUGCACUACGAGUAAAGAUGCUCGUUACGCGCAGCAGGACGGAAAGACCCCGGGACCUUCACUACAGCUUGACAUUGGCGUUUGGAACGUCUUGUGUAGGAUAGGUGGGAGACUGUGAAGCCGUCACGCUAGUGGUGGUGGAGUCAUUGGUGAAAUACCACUCUGGUCGUUUUGAACGUCUAACUUCGGUCCGUGAUCCGGAUCAGGGACAGUGUCUGGUGGGUAGUUUAACUGGGGCGGUUGCCUCCUAAAGAGUAACGGAGGCGCCCAAAGGUUCCCUCAGCCUGGUUGGUAAUCAGGUGUCGAGUGUAAGUGCACAAGGGAGCUUGACUGUGAGACCGACGGGUCGAGCAGGAGCGAAAGCUGGGACUAGUGAUCCGGCGGUGGCGUGUGGAAGCGCCGUCGCUCAACGGCUAAAAGGUACCCCGGGGAUAACAGGCUGAUCUUCCCCAAGAGUCCAUAUCGACGGGAUGGUUUGGCACCUCGAUGUCGGCUCGUCGCAUCCUGGGGCUGGAGUAGGUCCCAAGGGUUGGGCUGUUCGCCCAUUAAAGCGGUACGCGAGCUGGGUUUAGAACGUCGCGAGACAGUUCGGUCCCUAUCCGCUGCGCGCGCAGGAGACUUGAAAGGAGCUGUCCCUAGUACGAGAGGACCGGGACGGACGAACCUCUGGUGUGCCAGUUGUUCCGCCAGGAGCAUGGCUGGUUGGCUACGUUCGGAAGGGAUAACCGCUGAAAGCAUCUAAGCGGGAAGCUCGCCUUGAGAUGAGGUCUCCCACCACGUGAGUGGGUAAGGCCCCCGGGAGACGACCGGGUUGAUAGGCCGGAGGUGGAAGCACGGUAAGUGUGGAGCUGACCGGUACUAAUAGGCCGAGGACUUGACC